Oncorhynchus tshawytscha (Chinook salmon) is the source of this 353-nucleotide long non-coding RNA. Lineage: Eukaryota; Metazoa; Chordata; Actinopteri; Salmoniformes; Salmonidae. The record is from Ensembl.
CCAGAGGUAAACUAUAAACUCCAGUGGUAAACUAUAAACUCCACUGGUAAACUAUAAACUCCACUGGUAAACUAUAAACUCCAGAGGUAAACUAUAAACUCCAGUGGUAAACUAUAAACUCCAGAGGUAAACUAUAAACUCCACUGGUAAACUAUAAACUCCAGAGGUAAACUAUAAACUCCACUGGUAAACUAUAAACUCCAGAGGUAAACUAUAAACUCCACUGGUAAACUAUAAACUCCAGAGGUAAACUAUAAACUCCACUGGUAAACUAUAAACUCCACCGGUAAACUAUAAACUCCAGAGGUAAACUAUAAACUCCACUGGUAAACUAUAAACUCCACCGGUAAACU